UGGAGAGAGAGGGAGGCUAGUACCGAAGUGAAAGGACUGUUUUUUUCCGCCCACAGAUUAAUUACCUGAGCAGGAUACACUUUCACUUUUAUUUAAUAAAACUUUUUCCAAUUGAGUAGUAACAGUAGUUAGUAACAUUCUCAGACAAGCACAUAGUGUAUGAAGUGUUUGGCUCUAGUUGGACCAUUUAUGCGUUACACUAUUGUGUUGUGGCUGCUCUAAUAUGUUUAAUGUGUUCUUUGUUUUGUGCAAAGUGGAGAAUGUUGUAUGUGGACAUUGGACUGGAAGCUGUGGACUUAAAUACGGUUGUGUUUGUGUCAUGUAAUUCUGUGUGAGAUGGGCAACUUAGUGGCAUGACACGUAAAUAAAAAUAUCAGUCAAUCAAUCAACAAAUUAUAGGAAACACUCAACAAUUUU
Etheostoma cragini (Arkansas darter) is the source of this 417-nucleotide long non-coding RNA. RefSeq lists it as uncharacterized. NCBI's taxonomy places the organism in Eukaryota, Metazoa, Chordata, Actinopteri, Perciformes, Percidae. The record is from RefSeq and is a predicted model, not a curated record. The transcript is spliced from 3 exons.